CCUACGGGCCGCACCAGUGGGGAAUUUUGGACAAUGGGCGCAAGCCUGAUCCAGCCAUGCCGCGUGUCUGAAGAAGGCCUUCGGGUUGUAAAGGACUUUUGUCAGGGAAGAAAAGGCUGUUGCUAACAUCGACAGCUGAUGACGGUACCUGAAGAAUAAGCACCGGCUAACUACGUGCCAGCAGCCGCGGUAAUACGUAGGGUGCGAGCGUUAAUCGGAAUUACUGGGCGUAAAGCGAGCGCAGACGGUUACUUAAGCAGGAUGUGAAAUCCCCGGGCUCAACCUGGGAACUGCGUUCUGAACUGGGUGACUAGAGUGUGUCAGAGGGGGGUAGAAUUCCACAUGUAGCAAUGAAAUGCGUAGAGAUGUGGAGGAAUACCGAUGGCGAAGGCAACCUCCUGGGAUAACACUGACGUUCAUGCUCGAAAGCGUGGGUAGCAAACAGGAUUAGAUACCCCUGUAGUC
Molecule: ribosomal RNA, 465 nt
Filed under: uncultured bacterium
Lineage: Bacteria
Description: bacterial SSU rRNA
Rfam family: Bacterial small subunit ribosomal RNA
Source: RNAcentral